RNAcentral lists this ribosomal RNA (494 nucleotides) under uncultured bacterium. RNAcentral describes it as "partial 16S ribosomal RNA". It matches the Rfam family "Bacterial small subunit ribosomal RNA", at positions 28 to 507 of the family's 1533-position model. The record is from RNAcentral.
GACGAACGCUGGCGGCGUGCUUAACACAUGCAAGUCGAACGGAAAGGCCUGCUUUCCCUUGUGGAUUGCGGGUACUCGAGUGGCGAACGGGUGAGUAACACGUGAGUGAUCUGCCCCCAACUUGGGUAUAAGCCUGGGAAACUGGGUCUAAUUCCCGAUAGGACUGCAGGGUGGUGCCUGUGGUGGAAAACGAUUUUCUAGUGGUUGGGGAUGAGCUCGCGGCCUAUCAGCUUGUUGGUGGGGUAAUGGCCUACCAAGGCGGCGACGGGUAGCCGGCCUGAGAGGGUGGACGGCCACAUUGGGACUGAGAUACGGCCCAGACUCCUACGGGAGGCAGCAGUGGGGAAUAUUGCACAAUGGGCGGAAGCCUGAUGCAGCGACGCCGCGUGGGGGAUGACGGCCUUCGGGUUGUAAACUCCUUUCGACCGCGAGGAAGCCACCUGGUUGGAAGGGUGGUGACGGUAGUGGUGGAGGAAGCACCGGCUAACUACGUG